RNAcentral lists this ribosomal RNA (252 nucleotides) under uncultured bacterium. Its description in RNAcentral is "partial 16S ribosomal RNA". It matches the Rfam family "Bacterial small subunit ribosomal RNA", at positions 524 to 776 of the family's 1533-position model. The record is from RNAcentral.
UACGGAGGGUGCAAACGUUGCUCGGAAUCAUUGGGCGUAAAGCGCACGUAGGCGGCCUGUUAAGUCGGAUGUGAAAGCCCCGGGCUCAACCCGGGAAGUGCAUACGAAACUGGCAGGCUUGAAUAUGGAAGAGGGUCGCGGAAUUCCCGGUGUAGAGGUGAAAUUCGUAGAUAUCGGGAGGAACACCAGUGGCGAAGGCGGCGACCUGGGCCAUAUUGACGCUGAGGUGCGAAAGCGUGGGGAGCAAACAGG